This is a long non-coding RNA of Bactrocera neohumeralis, 8960 nucleotides long. RefSeq lists it as uncharacterized. The transcript has 5 exons. Lineage: Eukaryota; Metazoa; Arthropoda; Insecta; Diptera; Tephritidae. The record is from RefSeq and is a predicted model, not a curated record.
UCAAUAUUAAGUUCAACCCUGGAGGAACCGUGGUUUUCUCAAUGUCCUGCAAUAGCGUUGUGUGGUUGACUGUGUCAAAAUCUUUUGACAAGUCCAACGCUACGAGGAUCGUUCUCUCGCAGGGUGGUUUCUGGUUAGGACCACGAACUAUCUGAGCGUUUAUGACGCUAACUGCUGUGGUGGUGCUGUGCACUUUUCGGAAUCCAUGCUGGUGGUUGACUAGGCUCAGGUGGUGAGUGAAGGUCGGGAGUAGCAAGGCCUCAAGUGUCUUCACUACUGGGGAGACGAGAGUCAUCGGACGAUAAGAUUCCCCUUUGUUUACGGGCUUCCCAGGUUUCAGUAGUCGGACCACUCUUCCGACUUUCCACACAUCGGGUAUUUGAAGAGUGGUCAGGGAAGGGUUGAGCACCUUGGUGAGAUGGCUUACUCGCGUCGAGCCUAGAUGCUUUGGCAUUAGCAUGUUAAUUCCAUCUGGGCCAAUGGAUUUAGAAUAUUUUGAUAACAUUCUGAACCUCCUCAUCGGUACAAGUAAGUGGCGCGCGGUCGUUUGGCAUUUUGCGCAGCCUUCGGUUAACACAUCGCUUGGUUUUGUCUACCGAAGGGUGCAGUGUAAACUGCCGGCUAACAUAGUUCGCGCACUUCUUCGGGUCCGAAAAGGCAUGACCAUUGCAUUGAACUUCAACUCGGUCGUCUUGUCUCUUCCGGUUAGACAAAGCCUUGAUAGUAGCCCAAAGCUUACUCACAUCGGUGGAGAGCUUGCAGGACUUCAGGUGCUCUAUCCAUUACGUCCGCUUAUGACGGUUUACCAAUCGCCUAAUCUCCAAAUUGAACUCCCUUAUUCGGGUAUCCCCGGGAUGCAAUGAAUGGAGCCAUCUUUAGACCUUCUCAGGCCGUUAGACACACAGGGAGUGGACCACGAGUUACGUGGCCCCAUGUUGCCUACGCAAUACUGCGACACUAGCCUCUACGGCUGUGCAAUCUGCACAUAGUUCACGCGCUGCACCGCUACUCACCCAACAGAGGACCUCCACGGUCCCCAGGAGCUCAAACAGGCAACAAAGAUCCCACUCUGACUUGUCCCGCCCAACCUUCAUCCCGCUCCAAUCCUCGUGCGAGAAGCAAUCAGCAACUCCUGGUUCCUCGCACAGUCUGUUCCGUGUGUCAGCCCGUCACACGUCGGAACGUCACAUCAGUUAAGUGCAAUUCUGGUGUCACUUCCCGGCGUAUUCCGGUCUGCUCACCAGGUGAGUGGAUUGAGUCGUACGUUGUCCAAUACUGCAAGAGUCUGCCCUCGCAACACACAACAGUGGCGUCGCCAAUCAACACCAUAGUGCGACAACCGCCCCUGCGAGUUCUACAGCAGCAACAAACCCCACCUAUACGCCAUCCCUUCACCCACAGGAUCACCCACGGACACCCGCGACAAACCUGUUUACUUCAAUUCAACUGCAACGGACUCCAGAGCAAGAUCGAGGAGAUAGUUGCACUUAUGAAUCGGGAACGCGUAUCGAUAGCUGCGGUCCAAGAAACCAAACAAAACAGCCGCUCAGAUCUUCUGAGUUGUGCAGGUUUCAACAUAAUACGUAAAGAUCGCGAGCGAGAUAAUGGUGGUGGCCUAGCCUUCAUAUUGCGCAACACCGUGCAGUAUCGUCUAAUCAAUGAAGACAUCGACCGCAAGGGUACAACCCUAGAAUGUCGGGGUAUAGCUAUCCGGUCAGGCGAUGUCGAGCUCGAAAUAUUUAACAUAUACAUCCCCCCAGGUACAUGUUGCCUUACAGGAUAUCACCCGAAUAUAGGCGCGCCACUUCGUGGUGAAAACCGUUUGGUACUAGGCGACUUUAACGCGCACCACGAUCUUUGGCAUUCCUGCCUGUCAAAUGAUCGUAGGGGGAUGGAGCUGGCGGAACAGAUUGACGAUUCGACAUUCUGCACAAUGAAUGACGAAGCCCCCACCAGAGUUAUGGGCACCUGUAAUAGCUCGCCCGAUAUUACCACUGCUAGUGGUGGUCUGAUAAAUACCAUAACCUGGCGACCUAUGCUUACUCUCGCAUCAGACCAUCUGCCCAUAAUUAUCUCGAUCGAGAAACCUCCCGAUCUUGUUUCUGUGGACAACCGCACCUUCGUUAACUUAAACAAAGCUAACUGGGUCGGCUUCACAGAAUUUACUGAGAGCACCUUUAACGCCAUCCCUGAAUAAGGGAUCUCAAUUUGGAGUUUCGGGGAUUGGUAAACCAUCAUAAGCGGACGAAAUGGAUAGAGCACCUGAAGUCCUGCAACCUCUCCACCGAUGUGAGUAAGCUUUGGGCUUCUAUCAAGGCUAUGUCUAAUCCGAAGAGACAGGACGACCGAGUUGACGUUCAAUUUAAUAGUCAUCCCUCACCGACGGCUGCGCAAAAUGCCAAACGGGGGAUACGAUGGGGAGGUUGAGAAUGUCAUCAAAAAAUUUAAGUCUUCCAAAUCCAUUGGCCCUGAUGGAAUCAACAUUCUUAUGCUAAAGAACUAGGCUCGACGGGAGUAAGCUAUCUUACCAAGAUUCUCAAUCUUUCGCUGACCACUUUUCAAAUACCCGAUGUGUGGAAAGUCGGAAGAGUGGUCUGUCUACUGAAACCUGGGAAACCCGCCAACAAAGGAGAGUCCUAUCGUCCGAUAACUCUCCUCUCCCUAGUAGUGAAGACACUUGAGGCCUUGCUACUCCCGACCUUCACUCACCACCUGAGCUUAGCGAACCACCAGCAUGGAUUCCGAAAAGUGUUCAGCACCACCACAGCACUUGGCGUCAUAAACGCACAGAUAGUUCGUGGCCUUAGCCAGAAACCACCCUGUGAGAGAACGAUCCUCGUAGCGUUGGACAUUGUCAAAAGCUUUUGACACAGUCAGUCACAGAACGCUACUGCAGGACAUUGAGAAAACCACGCUUCCUUUAGGGUUAAAGAGGUGGACCAUGAACUACCUGAGCGGUCGACAAUCAUUCGUACUAUUACGAGAUGAAACAUCUAAACUGAGAAGAAUUAAACAGGUGGUUGCGCAGGGUGGUGUCCUCUCCCCGCUACUGUUUAACUUCUAUAUUUAGAAACUCCCACAGCCACCAGAGGGGGUUUCCACAAUUUCGUACGCUUAUGAUUGCACGAAAUUGACGUCGGGGAAGGGAAUCGAUGGUAUGUGUUCAAAAGUAAACAGCCAUCUCUCCGACCUUUCUUGUUUCCUCACUGCACGGAACCUAACACUUUCCCCAACAAUAUCCACAGCGAACAUAUUUACGAACUGGACGAAGGUGUAUAGACUUGAGCUUAGUAUUGCAGUCGGUGGCGUCAAAAUUCCGACUGUCAAUAAUCCUAAGGUUUUAGGCGUAACUUUUGAUAGUCUCCUUGAUUUUCCGUACCACCGCGAUUCUCGCCAAGGUACAGAGCCGCAACAAAAUCCUCAAGUCUCUAGCCGGCAGCACAUGCGGAAAAGACAAAAAAAACUUUGUUGGCAACAUACGAGGCAAUCGGCCGGCCGGUCCUCAAUUACGCAGCAUCAAUAUGGUCGCCUGGAUGCAGUGGUACGCAGAUGAGGGAACUCCAGACUUGCCAAAAUACUGCACUCCGGACCACGACGGGAUACCUCUUGAUGUGUUCCAUCGAACACCAUCCAUCGAAGAGGUCAUUCUUUAACUACGUCGACGACAUCGAACAGUACGCCGACCGGACUUCGGACGCAAAUAACUUCCUACAGGCACUCACCGCCAUUAACAGUGGAUAUAUUAACACCUUCACCGACUCCCUUCCAGUGAAUGACGUUCUUGGAGCCAAAUCAUCACCCAUUGCAGACGACGAGCUCGAGUUGCCGCGAGAAGCGCGAGUGACCCUAGCGCUUUCCUUGAAAUUUAUUUCCUGUUUCAUAAACCGUUUGAUUUUCAUGGAAUGAUCGUUUUUCACGGCCUUUAUUUCUAUAAUAAAGCAUCUGUCUUUGAUUUAAUUUCAAUUUUGCGGUUGUAUCAUUGUGCUUUAUUUUUCCGUUAUAGAAUGAAUAGUUUGAUUUUUGCUCGCCCUCUUUUUUCGGAAUUGGAGACUCUCCAAUCGGUACCCGUAUAGUGUAUCUAAGAAUCCAAGGGAUUGUACUUGCGGCUUAAUUUUGACAAUGAUUGGUACAAAUCGUUAAUUAUAAUUAAUUUUCUAUUAGACACUUUACUCAAAAUUAUAACUAUUAUAAUUUUUAUACGUUUGGAAUAUUUUGCUUAAGGGUAUAAUAGUUUUGUUCACUUAACGGUUGCAUGUAUCACCUAAAGUUAACCGAGAUACAUUUAGGGUUAUACAAAUAUAAGUGAACAAAAUGGCGAGACGAGUUCAAAUACGGGUGAUUGUCUGUCUGCCUCUCCGUCCGUCGGUUCUUGCAAGCUAUAACUUGAGCAAAAAUUGAGACAUCUUGAUGAAACGAGUUCGUAAAUAGGCGUAGUCGGACCACUGCCACGCCUACGAAACCCAGUUAACCGAAAACUUAUAAAAUACCAUAACUACAUAUAAACUAAAUUAAGAUAUAAAACUCUUAUUUGGCUUAAUGGAUCACGGUAGCAAGGAGAAUUUGUGGAUAAAAAAAUUUUAAAAUGUGGCCGUGGUCCCGUCCGCUUAUAAAUUUAAUGUACAUAUCUCCUAAGCUAGUGAAGCACAUUUGCUGAGCGCAAAUAUUAUAAGAACUGCUACCAACAGUGUGAAAAUAGAUGAAAUCGGAAGAUUAUCCCGCUCACUCCCUAUAUAACGGUACUGUCCAAACUAUUAAUAGCGCAAUAAAUCAAUAACUAAAUACGACAGAGACAUUAAGUUUUACUUCUGAGAUGGUUCGGAAGGGUUUUAUGGGAGCCUGUGUGGAAAUUGGACGAUGGACGAGGCACCGCCCACUUUUUGGUGAAAUCACCUUUCUCGGCACCCGACUUACCGAUUCCGACUGAAUUUGAUACCUGACAUUCUUUUCAUAUUCCUAUAUCAUAGUGAGAGAAUGGAGUCAUGUGUAGAAGUUCACGCAAGUGAAGAAAGUUCUCUGAUUGCCACUCACUUGGAAGCGGCCAGAAACUAUUUCACUACAUGUGCUUCAAACAGCUCACGACUUCUGGUCCUAGACCAAGUAUCUUCUGGGUAGCCAAAGAACAUCCGUUUAAAGGCGAGCUAAAGUGAGAAGGCGAAACAUUCCUUCCACAGGGUUGUGCUCUGGUUUUGGGACCGGCGACGUAAAAAACACUACCAAUGAAAACUAAUCGACAGACUCGGAUAAGAGACCCCUCUUUAGAUGACGACCAUGGCAAACGAAUUAAGGAUUACGAUUUGAAGACAUUCGCCUGGAAUGUACGGUUCCUUAAUUGGGUUCCGCUGCCCGGCUGGUUGAUGUCCUUGGUAGAGUGAAGGCUGACAUCACCACAGUCCAGAAAUGCGAUGGACGGGACAUGGACUGAGACGAGUAGGUUCUUGUGGCAUUUACUAAAGUGGCCGUAUAAAGGAGCGAAAAUUAGGUGUGAGGUUCGUAGGGGGAGAGAGAUUCCGUCGCUGAGUACUGUCAUUCACCCCAGUGGAUAACGUCUAGCCACAAUCCGAAUCAAACCGAAGUUCUUCAACAUAUCGCUGAUUUUCGCCCACACCCCGACGGAAGAGAAGGACGAUGUGACCAAAGAUGUCUUCAAUGAGGUCUUGGAGCGCACCUAUUAGAGCUGCCCCCACCACGAUGUCAAAAUCCUGCUUGGCAACUUUAACGCCAGGGCUGGAAAGGAAGGUAUCCUUGGCAACAUAGUCGGUAAAUUCAGCCUCCACGAGGAAACAUCCCCAAAUGGGUUGAGGCUGUUCGACUUCGCCGGGUCCCGAAAUAUGGUUGUCUGUAGUAAUAGAGAGUAACAGGUUUAGACAAGCUAUCUGGAUGUCUCCGAAUCGAAAAGCAACCAUCCAGACCGACCAUGUUGUGAUAGACGGAAGACACGUCUCCAGUGCUUAAUCUGUGCGUACGCUUCAAAGUCCAAGAUUCGCACCCGCCUUUGUGCAGCAAAAAACGCACGUCAACAAACAAAAGUAAGGUUCGACGUCGAGAAGCUGCCAUCACAACCGAUAGCCGAACGAUUUUCUACUCGGCUUGCACUCCUGCUCUUUGAGAACACUUAUCAACAGCUCGGUAUAAGGGAACUGUGGGACGGCAUUUCAAGCUCCUUACCUACAACUGCAACCGAAACCAUUGGUUUUCAGAAAAUGCAAGAGAACAGCUGAUACGACGAGGAGUGCCGUUUUGCAGCGGAGGGAAAGCAGACUGCUUACCUGGCAACUUUACAGUCAACAACAACCCGUGCGGGAUGGGAUAUAUACGAGAGUUGAAGAAGGAAGCGAGAUGCAUUUGCAGACAGAAAAAGAAAGUGACUGAAAUGCGUGAGAUCGAAGCUUGACAAGCUGGCCGACAGGAAUAAUGCUCGAAAACUUCUACGAAAAAAUGCGGCGGCUAACAGAAGGUUUCAAGACCAGAGCAUACUCUUGUAGAACCCAAUUAUGUGGUCUAGUCAUCGAUGCCCAGAGCAUACUUAAAUUAUAGAGAAAACACUUCUCUAGCCUGCUGAAUGGCAGUGAAAACAUAACGCCAGGAAAAUCGAACCCGAUUCCCCAAUCGAUGACGAUGGAGCAGAGGUUUCAUUGCCCGACCAUGAAAAAGUUCGAAUGGCAAUUACUCGUCUGAAAAAUAACAAAGCAGAGUGGGCCGAUGGAUUGCCAGCCGGGCGGCGAAGAACUGAUAAAUGAUGACGGCUGGUGGAGAAAAUAAUUCGAGCAGGUACAAUUCUCUAUAAGAGUGUACGGUUACUAGCGUAUGCCGAUGAUAUUGAUAUCAUUUGCCUCAACACUCGCGCCGUAGAUUUCUCCAGACUUUAUAAGGAAGGAAAGAAAAUGGGUCUGGCAGCGAAAGAUGGCAAAACUAAAUAUCUCCUGACAUCAAACAAACGGUCGUCGCACUCGGGACUAGGCUCCUGUCUUCGUCUAUCCUGGAAACAACAUUAACACCAACAAUAAUGUCAGCCUCGAAAUCUAACGCAAAAUAACUCUUGCUAACAGGUGCUGCUUUGGAUUAAGUAGGCAAUUGAGAAUCUAAGUCCUCUUUUGACGAACAAAAAUCAAACUCUAUAAGUCACUCCAUUGAAAAUUCCAGGUGGAGAAGGACCUGCCUUCGCUUGGAUUCUCCAAUUGGCGCCACGUUGCGAACAGAAGAAACGACUGGCGCGCUGUUGUUAACACGGCUAUAAUCGCGUAAGCGGUAUCUACACCAGCAAAGAAGAUAUCAUAGUACAAAAGUGGGCGAAAUCGGAACUAGGCGGGGUACUUCCCAUAGAGCAUAAUUUUCAAUUCUAUUUGAAUAUUUUACUUUCCAAUACAUAAAUCAAAAAGCAACUAAUAUAAUGGAAUACAUUUUUAUGACCAAUAUCGCCCGAAUCCAUCCAACACUGUUUUAGCCCCUAGCUACCAAAUAUGUGAAUAUACUUUUGACAGAAAUUGUCGGUCAAUUUGUCAGAUAUACAACUGAAAUUCAGAGCGUACCAUUUCCGGAUAAUAGUAAUUCUGUCUCUCGAGAAUGGGUUGAAUCAGGUCAAUACUUCCCUGAGCCCACAAUUACUUAAUUUCGAGGUUUCAGGACGCGUGAUCGAAAACAAAUGUUUAAUCACUAAUGGCGGCCAACGGGUGACACGUUUGCAGUGCAAAGCGGUGUUAGGGCGAUUGCCACGCCCCUGCUAGGACUAUUUAGGCCGCGUGAUCGAAGACAAAUGUUUAGGCACUAAUGACGGCCAAUGCAAAGCGGUUUUCGCGCGAUUGCCCUAGGGUGACACGUUUGCAACGCCAUGCCCCUUAGAGGGCCACUGCCACGCUCCUGGGAAGUGCUGCGUUAUCCAAGUCACCCGUUGAGACAAUAAUGGAGGCCAAAGGAUGACAAGUUUGCAGUGCAAAACUGUUUUUGAGCGAUUGUCGCGCCCCUAACCCAAAUUAAAUACUAUUUCUAUUUUUGAAUAUAAUAUAUAAUGCUAAGAUAGCGCUGAAAAUAAUAUCCGUAACUGAAAGUGCUAAAUUUUAAACGAAGCGGCUUGAUAGAGAACUUGAAAUGGAUGUUGAAUUCAGCUCUAGCUGUGAUCUGUUCGAUUGAUACAUUCGCGGUUUAUCCUCCAAGUUUUCCGACAUAGAAAAAUCAGUAAUUGGAAAAAUAAGGAAACAGCGGGAAACGCAACGAUACUCAUUGCAGCUGUGUGCAAAUUACAAUUUAUAAUUGGGAGUUUUUACCCAUGUGAUAUUUUAUCUCUAACUUAUUCACUCAGCGUGAUUCUUCAGAAAGAAUCGGUCGAUCUGUCAAAGGCAGCAGAUAUGUAACGUUUCGAAAUCGAAGACAAAAAGCUGAGGAACAUUCCGAGCCAUCCACAAAAAAAUGGCGGCAGACCAAAAAGUUGACAAAGAAAAACCGAGAAUCUGCGGUCGACAAAACGCGGAAAUUUCUGCGUGAGAACUGGCGAAGAAUACUAAAGGGUCUCAGUGUACAUUCCUCUGUUGAAUAAAAUCGACGAAGAUUUGAAGACGCGCUUUAUAAGAGAACUAUUGGAUGGAUGUGCUUUGAAAACGAAAGAAAUGGAAAAUCUUAUUGACUGCUUGAUAGAUAGAUUCAUAGGCCCUUUGGAUAAUGACAACGUCGUGCGGCGUUUAAAGUUUAUAGGUGAACUUGAUCACUGGCAGUGCCAUUUUGCGCAGAAGAAAAAGUCAAAAGACAAGAAGUUACCGACUACUGCAUUGGAAACGCUGAAGGACUGCGAUGUAGAAUUACGGUAUAUCCCACAAUUCAUAGCUUUCUUCGCAUAUUCUGCACACUUCCUGUGAUCGUACUAUUUUCUCAAAGGGUGUUAAUAUAAUAUUUUUGAAAUGUUUGCUACAUGAUAUAAAAAUAAAGUGCCAUGAUACACGUAUACAAGACGGUUUGUAUCAAUACAUACAUUA